GGAGACGGGGCAGGCACGGGGAGGGAGAGACCCGCGGCGGCGGGGAAGCCGGGAGUAGACCCUGAGGGAAGAAAGGACGGGGCGGACGCGCACGCGGGAGGAGGACGGAUUCCAGGCGCGGUUCUGCGGAGGACGAGCGGGUGUCGCCUGUUAUAAAGGGGGAGGAGGCGGCGGAGGGGGAAGGAAGAGCGUGCGGAGCGGAGCCUCCUCCAGAGACAGCCAGACACAGGGAGGAGAGAGAGGCUGCCUGGCUGGCUCCCCCUUCCUCCUCCCUCCCUCUCUCCUUUUCAUGGACUCUCUUGUCGGGUUGCUGCUGCUGCUUUUCUUCCGUCCUUAUUCCGUCUCUCUAAUACCCAAAAUGAUUCAGCUCCAUGGCUGCCACUGACGGGGAUGUCCCUGCCCGGCUUAGCCUGCCGCUGCCGCCCUGCUGUGCGCCAGUCCUCCUGACUCAGCCGCAGACAUUAGUGCUAGGAAGAUGGCGCACCCGGCGAUGUUUCCUAGAAGGGGCAGCAGCAGUAGCAGCGGCAGCAGCUGCGUUACUGCUCCCACUGCACCAGGUACCGGCGUUGGGAGCGCUGCCCUCUCUGCCGAGGAUUAUCAGCCGCCUUUGCUGGUCCAGCCGCCGCCUCCAUCUCCUGCAGCAGCUUCAACGGCGGGUCCACAGCCGACACCCCCUCAUCCACAAAGCCUGAACCUCCUCUCGCAGUCUCAGCUCCAGCCACAGCCCCUUGCACAGACUGGAGCUCAAAUGAAAAAGAAAAGUGGCUUUCAAAUUACCAGUGUGACCCCUGCUCAAAUAUCAGCUAGUAUGAGCUCUAAUAACAGCAUAGCUGAGGAUACAGAAAGCUACGAUGACCUGGAUGAGUCUCACACUGAAGACCUGUCAUCUUCAGAAAUCUUGGAUGUGUCUUUAUCCAGAGCCACUGACAUGGGAGAACCUGAGAGGAGUUCUUCUGAAGAGACUCUAAAUAACUUCCAAGAGGCAGAGACUCCUGGGGCUGUUUCUCCAAACCAGCCUCACCUUCCUCAGCAGCAUGCUCCUCUGCCUCAUCACCCACAGCAGAGUGUUGUGAUCAAUGGAAGUGUUCAUCCCCAUCAUGUUCAUCACCACCACCAUCUUCACCACCACCAUCAUGGACACCAUCAUCCAUCGCAUCCUGGGGUGGGUAGUGCCCCAAUUUCUGGAGGACCACCACCCAGUCCAUCGUUUAGAAAACUAUCAACAACUGGAAGCUCUGACAAUGUUAUAUCAACUGCACCAGUUUCUGCUGCAUCAUCCACUGGUUCCCCAGCAUCUGCCGUGUCUAAUAUCCGCACUACAAGUACUCCUGGAAAUUUAGGUAUAAGUCCUGCUGCUGGAACUAGUACCUUAAAUAAUAUUGCUGGUGGUAGUUCUAGUGUGGCAAGCAAUGUGCUUGGUACUAUUAAUUUAAGCAACAUCAUGAGUACUGGUAAUGUAAAUGCUUUGUCUGGAGCUAGCAGCAAUGCUAAUGUGAAUAUCUUGAGUGGUGUUGGCAAUGGUACGAGUGCUUCCUCUAGUGUCAUUAACAAUGUUACUAAUCCAACUGCAGGAAUGGCAGUGGGAUCAAGCCAGCAGCAACCUGCAUCUGGCACAUCAAGGUUUAGGGUUGUAAAAUUAGAUUCUAGUUCUGAACCUUUCAAAAAAGGUAGAUGGACAUGCACUGAAUUCUAUGAUAAAGAAAACACUGUUGCAGUUUCAGAGGGAGUAGCAGUAAACAAAGCAGUAGAGACGAUAAAACAAAACCCGCUUGAAGUGACUUCUGAAAGGGAGAGCACCAGUGGGAGUUCUGUUAGCAGCAAUGUAAGCACACUGAGUCACUAUACAGAAAGUGUGGGAAGUGGAGAAAUGGGAGCACCUACUGUGGUACAGCAGCAAGCAUUUCAAGGUGUGGGUCCGCAGCAGAUGGAUUUUAGCAGUGCUGCUCCUCCAGCAAUUCCAGCAUCUAGUAUACCACAGAGUGUUUCUCAAUCACAGCUUGCACAAGUCCAGCUGCAUUCUCAAGAAGUAAACUAUCCACAGCAGAAGCCAGGGGUCCAACCUCCUGCACAGGCCAGUCUAACCACUGUUACUGGGGUUCAGCCAGCUCCAGUUAAUAUACUAGGUGUAUCCCCAUCUCUGGGCCACCAGCAGCCUGCCCUCCAGAGCAUGGCUCAGCAGCAGCUGCCGUAUUCUCAGCCGGCACAGCCUGUGCAGACUUUGCCAGUGGUGCAGCAGCAGCAGUUGCAGUACGGACAGCAGCAGCAGCCAGUUCCUUCGCAGAUGGCCGCGGGUCACGUUAAGGCGGUGAACCAAAACUCUGUCACAGGGGCUAUGCCAGACUACAUCCAGCAUCAGCAGAUCCUUCAGACUCCAGCCCCUGCCAUGCAGCCAAGUUCUACAGGAGUAGGAGCUGGGCAACCGGUUCCUGUUGCCCAGGCGCAGGGCAUGCAGCCUUCAGUGCAAGCACAUCCAGCUGCUGCCCCAGCUCAGCCUGUUGCACAUGCUCCAGCAGCAAUACCAGGUGUAGCUGCCAGUGGUCAAAUACUAAAUGUUGGGCAGCAAGGAAGUGUAGCUGCUGUGGUGCAACCACCAUCUGCUACAAACCAAAUUCCACCUCCAGUUAUGCCAUCAGCAGCUGCUCCUCCAUCUUCCCAAGUGGUGCAGCCUGUGCAGACAGGAAUAAUGCAGCAGGGAUUACAGGCUAGUGCUACAGGCCUUCCUCAACAAAUGGUCAUUGCUCAGCAAAGCACCUUGUUACCUGUACAGCCACAGGCACAAGGAGUGGAAUCUGUAGUCCAAGGGAUGACUGGCCAGCAGCUGCCUGCGGUAAGCCCAAUACCCUCUGCUAGUACUGUUCCUGCACCAAGUCAAGCUGGUUCAGCUGUGCCUCCUGGCAUACCUUCUGCUUCUGUAGGUUUGGGACAGCCACAGAAUAUAGCACAGGCUUCGGCUGUGCAGAAUGGCAAUUUGGCUCAAAGCGUUAGUCAGCCUCCCUUGAUAUCAACAAGUAUAGGUAUGCCAGUGGCACAGAGUGUGCCACAGCAGAUGCCACUAAGCUCUAGCCAGUUCCCUGCACAAUCCCUAGCUCAGUCCAUUGUAAGCCAAAUGGAAGAUGGCAGACGCCCUACAGAACCUUCCUUGGUGGGUUUACCUCAAGCUGCCGGCGUCGAGAGCGGUGGUGGAGCAUCGGCCGCUUCAGAUGGCGGGAGCAGCAGCAUGCCGUCCUCGGCGUCCCUCUUCCCGCUGAAGGUGCUGCCCUUGACAACGCCUCUUGUAGAUGGUGAGGAUGAGAGUCUUUCUGCCUCCCUAUCCUGGAAGUAUGGAGUCCCUGCCUCAGCCUACGGCUUCAUUCUUUUUCCAGCUGCCCACAAAAGUAAAGAACCAGUGUGAGAGUUUGAAGAAAGAAUCCGCUCAGAGGACUGAGUCUCAAGCAAAAGCUCCAGGUUGCAGACUCAGAAAGAAACUUCCUUUGGGGAAGGAUCUGCUUCCAGGAUUUGCUCGUCUCUUUUUCCUUGGGCAAACAGUUCUUGAAGCAAACAACAGGGUUGCAGGACACCUUCUAAUCUUUAUACUGCAUCACAAGCCUUCAGCAGAAGAUCUUAUGUUGCUGGAAGAUGACUGGGUUUGGAUCUUGGCCUUCCCUAAGCAGGAUCUCCUGGCAAAAAAUGGGAUUGGGAAAGACAUGACUCCUUUUUCCAUCACACAGAACCACCCUAGAAAUGGAGGCCUAGGCAGAAAAUUACUUCUAGUGCGUCGUUCUUUAGGAAAUGUGUUUGGCCUUCCAUGGUCCUUUUACAGUGUCGUACAGAUAUCCUUUAUUAAAUCUAAACCUGGCAUCUUCCUAUCUGAAGCUCAAGUCAAUAAAUCCAAGAUUAAGAGUUUACAGGUCUAAUAAUGUGGUCGGGUCUUGCUGUCUCUUGCAUAGGAGAUGCCACAUGAAUCUAUGAAACAGGGUUCUGCUGUGGUUCAGACUGUUACAUUUGUAAAGCCUUUUCUACUUACAUUAAAAUUAUUAGAAAUAAUAUUAAUAAAGGUUCUUGUGAAAAUGGUACUUAGACUUCUACCUUGCUGGGUUUACUUAAAAAUAAAUUUGAACCAAAAUGUCACAAUGGGUAGUAUGGGAAAUAGUGCAUCUUUUGAGGUUUCCUGUGGCUUUAUGUCACAAAAAAGUAUGUUGCAACUGCAGAGCAUUAAAAAAGUGGAAAUCUUAGAUUUUUUCUUUAAGAUUGAGAAGUUGUUUGUUAGAAAGCAGAAAGCUUUUAAUUGUUUUCCCCCUAAGGGAUUCUGUAGUCAAACUUAAUUAAAUGUCUUGCAGGAUCUCAAAUGAAAACCUUAUGUUUGGCAGUAGUGAACAGCACACACAUGCCUGUGUACUUGUGUUGUUCUCACUAUAGGAAAUUGGUUUCUAAGAAUGGGACUUACUUCAAAUAUUCAGAUUAGGAAAGGGGAAAGUUUUGUUCUGAAGCUGAAUGUGAGAAUAGGGGGCAGGAGGGUGUACCAGCCCUCUGGCAGUAGGUAAAGAGCACUUGCAUUUUUCUGUUUUCUGCUUCUGGCAGUUGAAGUAAACUAGCCAGAUGCUUGUACUUGAAUCCAAUUAGUUUCUUAAAUCACUUACCACAAAACAUUGUUUUUAAACUAAUGCCUAGAUCUUUUGCUAAAUUCGCCAGUUUAUUUAAAUUACUCAAUAGUCACAUAGCCCUGAGGCUACUGCUUCAUGGCAGUUGUGACUUCUUACUAUUCUGGAAUGCGUUGCAGUCCUAGUACAUUCUAAAAAUAAUUGUUCAGAUGGUGCUGUUGAAGUACAUACUUAUGUAGUGAGCCAUUUUCACUGGACUUUCUGAAAUUGGCUUUCUGUUGGAUGGUUUUUUAAUAUCUUAUUUUGCUGUGAUUAUCAAACUUGUUUGUCUUGCUGUUUCUGUGGUUAUUAAGUAAAGUGCUGAAUUUAUAACCUGGUAUUUUUAGAGAAUUGAUAGUCACAUGCCUGUGUUAAACUAUGCAAGCACAGUAACACUUGUAAACUUUGAAGUUUAAGAAGAAUUCAAUUUAAUAUAUCAAAUUCAAUCCUAUUAUAAUAAGUGGAAAUAUGUAUGUGAUGACCUUAAAAUUGAGUAGUUGUUACAGAUACAGAGGUGAAUUGUGUAUUGAACAGAGGUGAUCUAGACAUUAAUAGCUGAAGAUCUGUGGGUCUUAGAAGUGAGUUCUAUCUAACAUUUGUGACUAGAGUUUUGUGCCAGCAGGGCUUUUAGUUGAAAAUACCUAUUUUUCAAAUUUCUAGUCCAUUUAAGGUCUGAUAUCCUUUGUGCCUUAGUAAGUAUACUUACACUUGCCUCAGCCACAGUUUUUGGUCAUUUUGUUCUGUAGUAGGUAAAUUUAGGACUGUCAAAUACUUACGAAACAGGCACUGAGGACUGUUUGUUACUGUGUCUCAGUUUCUAAAAUGGCUUUACUCCUCCCUGUCACAAUUAGGGAACAAAACUACCAAAACAAAAUACAAACCAAAGUAAAAAGCCUGUUGCAAUUCUACAGUCAGUAUUUUGAUACUUGUCUAUCACCAUUGGGUUAGCAUGUUUCUGUCAUGCUCUGAGUUUUACAGCUGGAAUCCUGGAUUCUUGAUACAUCCUUAGAAUAAUAACUCUUGCCUUUGUGUUAUUAAAUAAUAAAGAUAU
This is an RNA transcript of Oenanthe melanoleuca, 5667 nucleotides long. It is a transcript of the gene named TSC22 domain family member 1, with no coding region annotated. Lineage: Eukaryota; Metazoa; Chordata; Aves; Passeriformes; Muscicapidae. The record is from RefSeq and is a predicted model, not a curated record. The transcript is spliced from 4 exons.